This 489-nucleotide long non-coding RNA is filed under the name Coturnix japonica (Japanese quail). RNAcentral describes it as "lncRNA (ENSCJPG00005012317.1)". Lineage: Eukaryota; Metazoa; Chordata; Aves; Galliformes; Phasianidae. The record is from RNAcentral.
AUGUCCACGUGGUUGCUGAAGGUUCCAAGGAGAUGUGAAAGGCAGCCUGUGCCAGUGCCUGUCCCCCACAGCACAGAAGUACCUGAGGUAGUUACAGCUGACCCUACUUCAUGGUAUGGAUCUGGUUCAAGGAAGAAAAGAACUAUUGUGGAAAUGAAGGCCAUCACAAAGGUACAAGUCAGUCAGGAGCCAGCAGGAGCUACCACCAGGCUGCAUCUGACCAGCAACAGAAAAUCCAAUUGUUCUGGAAGGCAAAGGGAACACAAGGGUGUAGGAAGAAGUUGUGAUACAGCUCAGACAGAUACAAACAAGACUGUGGAGUUAGAUAUAUGUAACACCUCAUUUGCAGAGAAAUAUCCCCUACAAGACAGAAAGAUGCUGCCUCUAAUCACACGGCCCAAGUGUGAUGUUGUGAGACUGAAAUGGACAACCAGACCGUAUGAUCAGCCUUCUUUUAUGAGAACACUAUGUCAGUCAGUCAGUUUAUGA